Molecule: long non-coding RNA, 285 nt
Organism: Schistocerca gregaria
Lineage: Eukaryota; Metazoa; Arthropoda; Insecta; Orthoptera; Acrididae
Exons: 3
Source: RefSeq, a predicted model, not a curated record
ACCUAUUCGUGUUUUGAAACCUACGCGUCAGCGACGGCGUAGGUGAUGGCACCAAACCUAACCUGAUGCUUGGUUAUCAGCUAUGUGCUUAUCAAAUUGGACCUUGGUACAGACGUCUACCUGAAAACCAAGUUACCAGACAAUUCUGACCGUUGUCAAACGCGUGUUUACUAUAUUCAUAUUGGAGCAUGUGCAUAAUAAAGUCCUGAGUGUCGAUCUGUGGAGAUUAGACGAACUCUAGACAGUAUACUUUAUGUCGAAUAACUAUUUGUACAUACACAUGGC